CGCUGGCCAGGUGGUAGCUGUUUCAGACAUCCCAGCCGAGGUGCCUGACACGGGAGUGAAGCCAUCUUGGAUUUCCAGCCCCAGCUGAGCCUCCUGUGGGGAGGUGUGAGUGCAUGAGUGACCACAGGUGAGACCAGCAAAGAACCACUCACCUGAGCCCAGCCCAGAUUGCAGAACUGUGAGCAAAUACAUGGUUGUUAUUCAAGUAAAGCUCACUAAAGCUUUCAAUGACAAGUGGGCAUAGUCCUUAUGGCCACUUCUUGGGAUGGUUUGUUAUCCUGCAGUAGAGAACUGAGACAGAGGAAAGAGAAUUCACAGUGACUGACCCCCGCUGUGCUCCGGACCCUAUCGGGGUGCUGUGCGUGUGCUGGCUCAUCUGCUCCUCACAACCACCUGGGCUGUGGUCCCUCCUUACGGGAGAGGCUACUACAGUUCUGUGGUGAGGGAUUGGCCCCACUGCUCCACAGUCACUAAGUGGCAGAGGCAGGAUUUCAACCUGAGUCCGACUGAUUCCACGACCCACAUAAUAUCCCUACAAUGAAACAAGGAAGGAUCCCCAGAAGGUGCAGGGACCUCAGAGACUACUAAGUAGGGAUCUGAUGCAGUCUUUCCCAAGUGUCCUCACAAAUCCCACAGAGGAACUGUCAGACAGGGAAAUGAGUCUGGUGAGAAAGAUCCCUAAUGGGCACCGUCACGUCACAGCUCAAUCAUCUUCUCCCAUAAUUCCUAUGAUCCUGGGUGACCUAGAGGUAUCCUACAAGGAGGCUUACUCUGGUUUUCUGAUAGGCAUGACACUAAGAAAAUCUGAUGUGGUUAGCUCCGGGCAGUCACCACUUCUUUAUAUGUGGAUUAUCCCCCAACGAACGUCCGGCAUCUGCGGUCAUCCGGGAAUGCGUCCAGGCAAUGAUCUAGCGCUCAGAAGGAACAAGAGCUAAUUUCAACGGGAGUCUCUACCACCUGGACUGAAGACUGACUUGGAUCUCGGGGCCAACAGAACUUUGUUCCAAGUUCCAAGGCCAUCGUUGGAAUCAGUGGGUCAUCAACAGCGCACUAGAGGGCACUGAGCUAAAGGUCCCUGCACAUAUGGAAGCGCACAGGGGCACGGUUUGGGAUUAUUGGGAGAAUGCAUGAGUCAAUGGCUACGGAAAAUGCUGCACACCUACUCUGUGAAGAGGGAAGCGCCAAGAACAACUGCCACUUUCAUUUGGGGUCAGGAUUCUUGAUUCCUGCUGUCUGUUGACGUCUAUAAUCUUGGUGUUAUGCUUACAAGGGAGAGCCUCAAGCAGUAUUAAGUAUAUUAUUUUAAGAAUGAUGUGGCUUCUGGCAUCAUAUUUUGAAAAUCAAAGAUUGUAAUUUUAGGGAUAAUGGAAUACUCAAAAGGGAGUAUUCUGUAAAACUGAGGGCGUAUGGUCAGCAGAGAGAUAUUCUUUACAAAUACUGGACUACGAAUUAGGAGACGACCUCAAGUCCCUCCUCCGUCAGUGAUCUUGAGCCAUUGUGGCAACACAUUCUGGGCCUUGUUCCCCCCCCAUCUGUAAAAUGGGGGUGUUUGACUCAUUGUUUCUUAACUGGGGUGAAUUCUGGAGUCACCUGGGAAGAUCCCCAAAGGCAGAAUUCUGGUUUUGUUUCUUGUUGUGUUUCUAAGGCAUAGAAAAGUACUUGGCACAGGGUAAAUACUCAAUAAAUAUUUUUUUAAUGAAGAAAUAAAACUUUUAAAAAAUUCACAGAGCAGGAUCCAGUCCAGAAUGCUCACAUCGUAUGGGCUAGAAACUGUACAUACAUUUUGUAAAAGCCCUCUGGAUCAUUUUGCCAAGCACUCUGGGCUUAAGAACCACUAAACCCAACAAUCCCCAAGGUUCCUUCCCUGAAGAAUUGUCAGAUUUAGCAAAGAAAAAUGUAAGACAUCCAGUUAAAUUUGAAUUUCAGAUAAACAAUGAAAAUGUUUUAGUGUAAAUAUGUACCAUGCUCUAUUUGGUUGUCGCAAAACUUGUAGAAAGAUGACUAGGUAAGGCUUCUGCUUAGGCUGAUGGUUAGAGGCAGAGGGUGGCACCUUGAAACUGGCCCAGAUUUGGGAAUCAGACAGAUAAUCUUGGUCUGAGUCUCUGCCCUGAUUGUGUGAUCUGAACAAAUUGCUCAACUUCACUGGGCUUCGUAACUCGAGUGUCUAUCCUGUAGAGCUGCUGAAAGUAUUGGAGAUAUUACAGGAAUGAUGGUAGCAGGUAUCUGAUAACGUUUAGCUGUUUUUACUGUUGGUUUGAAGAAAGAAACUCAGUAUCAAUGAGACCUUUGUUGAAACACUGUCAACUAGCAAACUGGCAUUCUGAAAUGACCAAGAUUAUAGAUAAUAGUUCUGGGCAGACCUGGGCAAAGUUAGAGGGAACGCUGAUCUUCUUUAGAACAAUACCUCUAUGUGUGGGGGAACAAAACAUACUAAAAAUUAAUAGAUUAUCCAGAAUAAAUAAAGGAAGGAAGUUCUUUCGUUUCAUUCAUUAUAAAAUGUCAUUUGCUCAACUGACUUUUUCUAAUGUCAAAGGUAAACAUUUGUUCAGGUUUUACAGGGUCACUAUACAGAGGGAUAGACUAUUAUUUGGGCAGUGGAAGUACUUCAAUCCUAACCUUGUUUCCCUCUCUUCUAGGUUAAAGACACAGUCUGUUUCUAGAGCUUCUGUUGUUUCUAGAAAUUUCUAACGCAUUUCUUCUGUUUAAAAAAUACACAUGCAACAAAUAUGAAAUAUUCAUUAAAAGGAAACGGUUCUCUCUAGAAAAAUCUAUUUGGACAAAAAUCUUUAGAUAAUUUCAUUAUCAAAUGUGAAGAGCUACGGGUGGAAAAUAAAUUGACCAUUACAUUUUCAACUGAGCUACUCGGAUAUCAACUGCAUACUUUAAGCCCCCUGUUGUUAUUUUGUUGUCUAUCCACCACAUAUUUAUUGUUGAGCCUGUAUUAUAUACUGGAGACUGUUCUAAGUGCUUGGGAUCCUUAGUGAACAAAACAGACCCAAAUCCUUGCCUCUGUGGAGCUUGUCUUCUGGGAUAGAGAGAGAAACAGAAGCAUCCUAGAUAAGUGAGUUAAGUAGGAUACAGAUGGCGCAAUCUGUUGGUGAUGGAAGGAGCCAUGCUGAUCUGGGGGAUGAGAACAGGGGCGUCAAGCACAAAUGACCUAAGGCAGGAGCCUGCCUGGAGUGUUCCAAGAAUAGCAAGGAGGCCAAUGUGGCUGCAGUGGAGAGAGGACAGAGGGAGUAGGAGGAGAGAAGACCAAGUAACUAUUAUCCUAAUCAUGAUAAAGGACUCCACGAAUCUAACUUCCAGUUUUGAGUUUUAGUUUACUUACUCUGUGACUACAGGGAGAUCCUGAACUGCUUACCUGGAAUGGUGGUCCUUAACUUGUAAAACAUGGGUAGGUUAGAGAUUUACUUCACAAAACUAUGACUAGAGGGAAUCAGUAUAUAGCUUAGUGAUGAUGUAUGUGCUUUAAUGGAUGGAUCUGAGUUCACAGUCUGACUUCCUUACUUGCUAGAGGUGUGCCCUUGGGCAAGUUCCUUCAACUCUCUGUGCUUCAAGUUCCAUCUCUAUGAAAUAAGGCAACUAAAAGUACCCCCUUUCAAACUGUGAGGGUUAGAGGAGAGGGUCUGUGUAAAAUGCUUAGCACAGAGCUUGGCACAUAGAAAGUACUAAAUAAAUAUCAUCAUUAUUUCUUGAAAAGUAUAAUUAGGAGGAUUAGGUACUCUGAAAUAUCUAUUUAAUAUUUAAUAUCAAAACAUGUUUUCAGUAAAAAUGUCUUAUUAUUGUUAUUACUAGUGGUAGCGAGCCUCCAAGAUGAUCCCCAAUGAUCCCUGUCUCUGAGUAUUCACACCCUUGUAUAGUCCCCUCCCACAUUGUACCAGGAUUGGUCUAUGUGACCAUAGAAUAUGGCAGAAGUGAUGGUAUGUCACUUUUGAGAUUAAGUUAUAAAAGACAUUGUGGCUACCAUCUUAGUCAUUCAUUCUCUCUCUCAAUCAUCACUUGUUCUGGGGGAAGCCAGCUGCCAUGUCAUGAGCAGCCCUAGGGAGAGGUAUCCCUUAUGGAGAAGUCCACGUGACAAAGAACUGAGGCUUUUUGCCAACACCAUGUGCGUUAGGGCCUUCUUGGAAGUGAACCCACUAGCCUUGGUCAAGUCUUCAGAUGAAAGCAGCCCUCACUGACGUCUCGACUGCCGCUUCAUGAGACCCUGAGGCAGAACUAUGCAGCUAAGCAGAUCCCAGAUUCCUGCCCCUCAGAAACUGAGAUGAUAAAUGUUUGUUGUCUCAAACUUCUAAGUUUUGGGGUAAUU
This 4306-nucleotide long non-coding RNA is filed under the name Equus asinus (donkey). RNAcentral's name for it is "lncRNA (ENSEASG00005033985.1)". The record is from RNAcentral. Lineage: Eukaryota; Metazoa; Chordata; Mammalia; Perissodactyla; Equidae.